CUAUCAAGUUUUCAUGCUCAAUUACUCCCACUUUAGGUGGAACAUUCAAUGACGCAUGAUCAAAUCGUGCAACGUCUAUCAGCAAACAAUAAAGUUAAACGGUAUAAAAAUGGAAGCUGAACGACAAAACAUCAAAUAGGAAAGGCUUGGAAGUGAACGUAAUCCUAUAGCAAUUUCAACGAAGCGUAUGUCUCACUCUAUAUCGUACAUACAAUUUCCUCGUACGUAAGAAGUGUUUACGAAUACUUCGAUCUAUUUCGACAACGCGUUCCAGUCAACAUUUCGCACAAUUUUAUAAUACAUUAAUAAUAAUAAUAAAUAAAAUACGUAAUUUUUUUCUUA
Long non-coding RNA from Ooceraea biroi (clonal raider ant), 342 nucleotides. RefSeq lists it as uncharacterized. Lineage: Eukaryota; Metazoa; Arthropoda; Insecta; Hymenoptera; Formicidae. The record is from RefSeq and is a predicted model, not a curated record.